RNAcentral lists this unclassified non-coding RNA (701 nucleotides) under Hevea brasiliensis (rubber tree). The record is from RNAcentral. Lineage: Eukaryota; Viridiplantae; Streptophyta; Magnoliopsida; Malpighiales; Euphorbiaceae.
UCAUCAUCAUUCUGACCAUCAUCUGCAUCAUUAUCAUCGAUUUCAUUCCCAUUUUCAGUUUCAUCCUCAACAAGCUUUUCAAAAUUUUCUUGUUCAUCACCAGAUUCCAAAUUCAAUUGUUCUCUUGCUACUGUUUUUGAACGGCGUGGCCGUAGUCCUUCACGUCGAGGGGUUGAUCUGGUAUUCAUAAUCUUCUUGAACUUAGGAGAUGAUAAUUCAUCCUGACUGACACUAUUAUCAAUCCGGUUCCUCAAGGUUCGAUAAGUUGGUUUCAUCAAGUCUUCAUCUUCUGAUCCAGAACUGUCUGUAUAAUCUUCAAGAUUUACAGAAAUCCUCCUCUUUCUGGUCGAGCGUCGAAGAUUGGUUGCAACUGAAUUAUUAUUUGGGCUCCGUGUUGGCCGAUUUGAUGGACACAACAUCUUAGCAAUUCGAGAUGCAGCUGUCCUCGUCUUAGUUUUACCUUUCCUGCUUCGAAUGAUGGUUGGAGUGUAAUACAAGUAUGUACGACUAAAAACUUUUGGCCUCCUCCUGAGCCUAUCACUUGUUCGUACUGGCCUUGAAACAGGCCCAUCUCCUUGGCCAGAACGCUUUGGAUACAUAUGCAAAUGAUAGCUCUAGUGAUUAUUCUCUUCCAUGCAACUUGAAAUGCCUGAUCAGAGAUCUAGCUACACAGGGAGAGCGAGCGAGCCGAGCUUAAGAAC